UACGUAGGUGGCAAGCGUUAUCCGGAUUUAUUGGGCGUAAAGGGAACGCAGACGGUCUUUUAAGUCUGAUGUGAAAGCCUUCGGCUUAACCGGAGUAGUGCAUUGGAAACUGGGAGACUUGAGUGCAGAAGAGGAGAGUGGAACUCCAUGUGUAGCGGUGAAAUGCGUAGAUAUAUGGAAGAACACCAGUGGCGAAGGCGAUUCUCUGGACUGUAACUGACGCUGAGGCUCGAAAGCGUGGGGAGCAAACAGG
RNAcentral lists this ribosomal RNA (253 nucleotides) under uncultured bacterium. RNAcentral describes it as "partial 16S ribosomal RNA". It matches the Rfam family "Bacterial small subunit ribosomal RNA", at positions 524 to 776 of the family's 1533-position model. The record is from RNAcentral.